UACGAAGGGGGCUAGCGUUGUUCGGAAUUACUGGGCGUAAAGCGCACGUAGGCGGGUUGUUAAGUCAGGGGUGAAAUCCCGGAGCUCAACUCCGGAACUGCCUUUGAUACUGGCAAUCUAGAGACUGGAAGAGGUUAGUGGAAUUCCGAGUGUAGAGGUGAAAUUCGUAGAUAUUCGGAGGAACACCAGUGGCGAAGGCGGCUCACUGGUCCGGUACUGACGCUGAGGUGCGAAAGCGUGGGGAGCAAACAGG
This 253-nucleotide ribosomal RNA is filed under the name uncultured bacterium. RNAcentral's name for it is "partial 16S ribosomal RNA". It matches the Rfam family "Bacterial small subunit ribosomal RNA", at positions 524 to 776 of the family's 1533-position model. The record is from RNAcentral.